UACGUAGGGUGCAAGCGUUGUCCGGAAUUAUUGGGCGUAAAGAGCUCGUAGGCGGUCUGUCGCGUCUGCUGUGAAAAACUCGGGGCUUAACCCCCGGGCCUGCAGUGGGUACGGGCAGACUAGAGUGCGGUAGGGGGAGACUGGAAUUCCUGGUGUAGCGGUGAAAUGCGCAGAUAUCAGGAGGAACACCGGUGGCGAAGGCGGGGUCUCUGGGCCGUAACUGACGCUGAGGAGCGAAAGCGUGGGGAGCGAACAGG
RNAcentral lists this ribosomal RNA (257 nucleotides) under uncultured bacterium. Its description in RNAcentral is "partial 16S ribosomal RNA". It matches the Rfam family "Bacterial small subunit ribosomal RNA", at positions 524 to 776 of the family's 1533-position model. The record is from RNAcentral.